AUUAAAACUGGCAAUUAUGGACUUAAAAUCCCUCGGCCGUAAGGCUGUGCGAGUUCGAUUCUCGCUCCGGGCACCA
RNAcentral lists this transfer RNA (76 nucleotides) under Desulfurivibrio alkaliphilus AHT 2. RNAcentral's name for it is "tRNA-Und (NNN) (tRNA-Und-NNN-1-1)". The record is from RNAcentral. Lineage: Bacteria; Pseudomonadati; Thermodesulfobacteriota; Desulfobulbia; Desulfobulbales; Desulfobulbaceae.